Molecule: microRNA precursor, 96 nt
Organism: Nicotiana attenuata
Lineage: Eukaryota; Viridiplantae; Streptophyta; Magnoliopsida; Solanales; Solanaceae
Rfam family: MIR6152 microRNA precursor family
Source: Rfam
UGGACAAAUUACUGUGUUCGACUGUAUUCACGACGUGAAACAGGGGAUUACACUGUUUUAAAACGAAAAGUGUAUUAAUUAACAUAAUAGACUACU